GAGCAAUGAUGAGAAGGUUUCAUGACUGACCUUUUAUAAUUAUGAAGGCUUCUACACUUGACCUGAGCUCA
Molecule: small nucleolar RNA, 71 nt
Organism: Dasypus novemcinctus (nine-banded armadillo)
Lineage: Eukaryota; Metazoa; Chordata; Mammalia; Cingulata; Dasypodidae
Source: Ensembl